Lactuca sativa (garden lettuce) is the source of this 1822-nucleotide non-coding RNA. Lineage: Eukaryota; Viridiplantae; Streptophyta; Magnoliopsida; Asterales; Asteraceae. The record is from RefSeq and is a predicted model, not a curated record.
GUAUCUCUACCACGCUGCGUUCCCUCCUCCAUCUAAUUUUCCAUCUAAUAUAUUCUCUCCCGUCACCUCCUUCCGAUCUCUCUCCGCCGGAGAGAAUUCAUCGCUGCCGAUUACACUGUCGGAGUUUCAAAUUCAUGCUUUAGUGCUUGAGCUUAUGCUGUAUGAUUCCUUGAUUGAAGGUUCAAUCUUGCUCUUCCCCGUAAUCAAUUUUGGUUUUCACUGAAGAAAAGAUUCAAAAAUUGAGGUUGUUCUUGAAGAAAAAAGUUUCUUAUUUUAUUCUUCAGAUCUGCUUACAGAUUUUAGAUGUCAACAACUUGGGCUUCAUCAUCAUCCUACUGGUGCUACAGAUGCAACCGAUUCAUCAGAGUUCUCACCCAUCCGCAAGAUUCUUCCCUAAUUUGCCCUGAUUGCAACGGCGGAUUCAUAGAGGAGAUUAACAGCGCCCAACUCUCCGGAUCAAUGCUGUCGGAAUCUAUCCACCGGAGGUUUCCGGCCGCCGCUAUGUACACGGCCGAAAACGACCAAAGCCCCAACCCGAGUCUUAGCUCUAGUCCUUUCCCUAACCUCACCCCGCCGGUGCUUCAACGGGCCAGAAGAAACACCGGUGAACGAUCUCCCUUCAACCCGGUCAUCGUCCUCCGUGGACCCACAAGCAAUUUAAGCACACCGGAAGCGUCUGAUGAAGCGACCACCGGAACAGGUGGAUUUGAGUUGUACUACGACGACGGAGCUGGGUCUGGGUUGAGGCCAUUACCGGCAAGUAUGUCGGAGUUUUUAUUGGGCUCUGGUUUUGAUCGUUUUCUGGAUCAAUUAUCUCAAAUUGACGCUAACGGAUUUGGGAGAAUCAGCAACAAUCCACCAGCAUCAAAGUCCGCGAUUGAAUCAAUGCCAACAAUCGAAAUCCAUGAAAAUCACAUCUCCACUGAAUCCCAUUGUGCUGUAUGUAAAGAACCAUUUGAUUUAGGAACAGACGCUAAAGAAAUGCCGUGUAAGCAUAUAUACCAUCCAGAUUGCAUUCUUCCAUGGCUAGCUUUACGUAACUCCUGCCCUGUCUGCCGCCAUGAACUACCACCGGAUAAUCAAGAUUCUAUAGAAUCCAACAGAUCACAAAUCAAUGAUAAUCACAAUAACAAUCAACCGGAAGAAGCAGUUGGGUUGACCAUAUGGCGGCUCCCUGGUGGUGGGUUUGCUGUGGGGAGGUUUUCCGGUGGGAUGAGAGGAGGUAAUAGAGAGUUUCCGGUGGUUUUUACAGAGAUGGACGGUGGUUUCAACAACCACAACAACAAUGGUGGUGCUCCAAGGAGGAUUUCAUGGGCUUUAAGAGGUAACAACAAUGGGGGUAGAGAGAGUGGUAGAUUCCGGCGACUUUUGCAUAGUUUUUUUUCUUGUUUUAAUGGUGGUGGGAGGGCAAUAGGGUCAAGUUCUAUGUCAAAUUCUUCAUCGACUUCUUCAUGGCGACAUAGAGCUUAGGGAUUUGAAGCAAAUAAUGGGGUUUUGAGACGAUAAUUUGAAUGGUUAAAGCCUUGAUAGGGUUAAGUUUCUUUUGGAUGUAAAUAUGAGAAGUGAAAAAGAAUAUCUGAAAUGGAAUUGAGAAGAGAAAAGAGGAUUAGUCACAAAAUGAAAAAUGAAGAAUGAAAGCUUGGAUGAAGAUUGUAUAAACUAUAAAGGUUCAAUUCUUAACUAAAACAUAAUAUUUUAAAUCUCUUUAGAUGUUAGGAAAUCAAUAAUGCACGAUUUUUAUAGCUCACAAGAAAUUAUUGUAAUAAGUAUUGUUAUUCAAUUUUGGUCUACUGUCAAAAAGUUAAUAAGUAUUGUUAUUCAA